GUAGUUUUUUCCAUUCAGCUCUCCCAGAUCCAAAUUCCCUAAACCUUAUCCUCUCACUCGCUCCCUCGGCCGCCGGCGCGCCCUCACUCGCUCCCUCCACCGCCGGCCGCUAGUAGCCCGAACGGUUGUGGCCCUGUCCCAUUCAUCCUCCUGCAGCCCAACGCUAGCCACCCUAGCUGGUGCCCUGUCAUCUUCAUCCGCCAAGGCCCUAUGGUGUACGCCGUCGCUCCUCUCAGAUCCAGGGAUGGGAGAGACAUGGGUCACCUGGGAGACUGCAGUCAAACCCUGGUCAUCACCCAGGCGCUGCAUCGCCGCCGCCACGCCAUGGGCCUCCCCCGAUCUGUAUUUGUCGGUUGAUUUGAAGGGGAUCUGGCCGUUGACUGUUGCUGCUUCCCAUCGCCCGGGAGUUAUUGUUCAUUUUCCUCUCCUCUCCCUCUCCACUCAUCUACAAUCGGUGCUGCCGUUAGUUGAUUUGUUUACUUUUGUUCAUAAGAAGAUCAGCCAUGACUUGUGGUAGUACUUCUAUCCAGCAAGCAGUGCCUCAGUUGGAGCUCGCGCUUGAGCAGUACGUCAAGAACAGGGGCUACUACUCGUGUGACUCCUGGAGAUGAGAGGAUGAGGAUGAUAACUGCAGGUGAGAGUUGAGGCUGGAGCUUUGUUACUCUUUCCAUCCAACAACAAGAAAAGAAUAAGGGAUCGGACAGAUGUAAAAGAGAUGAAGUGAUUAUGUGAGAAACUUAUCAGGUUUUAUCCAUGUUGAGGUGCAAGGGGCCUCAGGUGCAACGUUCAGGAAUUGUUAGACUUGCGCCCGUGCAGACGUGCUCAUGUGCCUCCACGUGCGUC
This is a long non-coding RNA of Hordeum vulgare subsp. vulgare (domesticated barley), 843 nucleotides long. RefSeq lists it as uncharacterized. The record is from RefSeq and is a predicted model, not a curated record. The transcript has 4 exons. NCBI's taxonomy places the organism in Eukaryota, Viridiplantae, Streptophyta, Magnoliopsida, Poales, Poaceae.